This 253-nucleotide ribosomal RNA is filed under the name Phocaeicola coprocola DSM 17136. RNAcentral describes it as "partial 16S ribosomal RNA". It matches the Rfam family "Bacterial small subunit ribosomal RNA", at positions 524 to 776 of the family's 1533-position model. The record is from RNAcentral. Lineage: Bacteria; Pseudomonadati; Bacteroidota; Bacteroidia; Bacteroidales; Bacteroidaceae.
UACGGAGGAUGCGAGCGUUAUCCGGAUUUAUUGGGUUUAAAGGGAGCGCAGACGGGAGAUUAAGUCAGUUGUGAAAGUUUGCGGCUCAACCGUAAAAUUGCAGUUGAUACUGGUUUCCUUGAGUGCAGUUGAGGCAGGCGGAAUUCCUAGUGUAGCGGUGAAAUGCGUAGAGAUCUGGAGGAAUACCGGUGGCGAAGGCAGCUCACUGGAGCGCAACUGACGCUGAAGCUCGAAAGUGCGGGUAUCGAACAGG